Lagopus muta (rock ptarmigan) is the source of this 340-nucleotide long non-coding RNA. RefSeq lists it as uncharacterized. The transcript has 3 exons. NCBI's taxonomy places the organism in Eukaryota, Metazoa, Chordata, Aves, Galliformes, Phasianidae. The record is from RefSeq and is a predicted model, not a curated record.
CCUUCUCCCAGGGGAGCAGAGAAGCUGCUGUCACCCCUUCUAUCCUGUCCUCUUGCCUAUGCCAGCACGAUGUAGGGCUGUAGGUUGCCCUGUUACCUCAGCUAAAUGACACACACAACUCACUUUGAUGAGAGGUGGACUGCUGGCCCAACUGCGUGCACCCAGACCGACUUCCUAACGCCCUCAAGAGCAUCACACUUUCCAAAGUGCAUCUUCAGCUUCUUCACCAGGUAAGAACAAUAUCUCCGUGCUCUGGUGACAGCACCCAUCAACACCUCUCUCAGCUGUUCCAGUUCUUCAUACACCAUUCCUGGCCUGAAGCGUCUGUUCUUCCAGAAAU